AUUGAACGCUGGCGGAAUGCUUUACACAUGCAAGUCGAACGGUAGAGGGGGCAACCCCUCGAGAGUGGCGAACGGGUGAGUAAUAUAUCGGAACGUGCCCAGUCGUGGGGGAUAACGUAGCGAAAGUUACGCUAAUACCGCAUACGAUCUAAGGAUGAAAGCGGGGGAUCGCAAGACCUCGCGCGAUUGGAGCGGCCGAUAUCAGAUUAGGUAGUUGGUGGGGUAAAGGCUCACCAAGCCAACGAUCUGUAGCUGGUCUGAGAGGACGACCGGCCACACUGGAACUGAGACACGGUCCAGACUCCUACGGGAGGCAGCAGUGGGGAAUUUUGGACAAUGGACGCAAGUCUGAUCCAGCCAUUCCGCGUGCAGGAUGAAGGCCCUCGGGUUGUAAACUGCUUUUGUACGGAACGAAAAGGUCUCUCUUAAUACGGGGGGCUCAUGACGGUACCGUAAGAAUAAGCACCGGCUAACUACGUGCCAGCAGCCGCCGUAC
This 496-nucleotide ribosomal RNA is filed under the name uncultured bacterium. Its description in RNAcentral is "partial 16S ribosomal RNA". It matches the Rfam family "Bacterial small subunit ribosomal RNA", at positions 30 to 523 of the family's 1533-position model. The record is from RNAcentral.